Myotis lucifugus (little brown bat) is the source of this 358-nucleotide long non-coding RNA. RefSeq lists it as uncharacterized. NCBI's taxonomy places the organism in Eukaryota, Metazoa, Chordata, Mammalia, Chiroptera, Vespertilionidae. The record is from RefSeq and is a predicted model, not a curated record. The transcript has 3 exons.
CGGGACUUCCGGCCGCCCGGCUCCCGCAAGAUGGCGGCCGCAGUGGACAAGAGGAAGAUGCUGGACCAUGAGAGGAACCAGUCUUAGAAUGAUGCAGACACCCAAGAAGGCAUAGCAGAGAGAAGUAAAUAUAUGGAUCCUUGGUGACAAAUUGAGUUGUAGAAUCAAGCUGCACCUGAAGCCAGUCAGCCUGUGGACUUCUCAUUCAUGAGGAAUCACCUACUGUGUGGAAGUGUGAGUAUCUGACUUGGAUGGCCCAGAUUACAGGGCUCUGAGAACAGAGAAGUGAUGCAUUUUGCCAAGGAGGUGGGAGGCAGGCUGGCACCUGGAGAGCCUUUUCUGCCCUUUUCUUUAUAGC